This 479-nucleotide ribosomal RNA is filed under the name Staphylococcus pseudintermedius. Its description in RNAcentral is "bacterial SSU rRNA". It matches the Rfam family "Bacterial small subunit ribosomal RNA", at positions 1 to 468 of the family's 1533-position model. Lineage: Bacteria; Bacillati; Bacillota; Bacilli; Caryophanales; Staphylococcaceae. The record is from RNAcentral.
UUUAUGGAGAGUUUGAUCCUGGCUCAGGAUGAACGCUGGCGGCGUGCCUAAUACAUGCAAGUCGAGCGAACAGAUAAGGAGCUUGCUCCUUUGACGUUAGCGGCGGACGGGUGAGUAACACGUGGGUAACCUACCUAUAAGACUGGAAUAACUCCGGGAAACCGGGGCUAAUGCCGGAUAACAUGUUGAACCGCAUGGUUCUACAGUGAAAGACGGUCUUGCUGUCACUUAUAGAUGGACCCGCGCCGUAUUAGCUAGUUGGUGGGGUAACGGCUUACCAAGGCGACGAUACGUAGCCGACCUGAGAGGGUGAUCGGCCACACUGGAACUGAGACACGGUCCAGACUCCUACGGGAGGCAGCAGUAGGGAAUCUUCCGCAAUGGGCGAAAGCCUGACGGAGCAACGCCGCGUGAGUGAUGAAGGUCUUCGGAUCGUAAAGCUCUGUUGUUAGGGAAGAACAAAUGUGUAAGUAACUGUG